AGUGAACGCUGGCGGUAGGCCUAACACAUGCAAGUCGAACGGCAGCACAGUAAGAGCUUGCUCUUACGGGUGGCGAGUGGCGGACGGGUGAGGAAUACAUCGGAAUCUACUUUUUCGUGGGGGAUAACGUAGGGAAACUUACGCUAAUACCGCAUACGACCUACGGGUGAAAGCAGGGGAUCUUCGGACCUUGCGCGAUUGUAUGAGCCGAUGUCGGAUUAGCUAGUUGGCGGGGUAAAGGCCCACCAAGGCGACGAUCCGUAGCUGGUCUGAGAGGAUGAUCAGCCACACUGGAACGGAGACACGGUCCAGACUCCUACGGGAGGCAGCAGUGGGGAAUAUUGGACAAUGGGCGCAAGCCUGAUCCAGCCAUACCGCGUGGGUGAAGAAGGCCUUCGGGUUGUAAAGCCCUUUUGUUGGGAAAGAAAAGCAGCAGGUUAAUACCCCGCUGUUCUGACGGUACCCAAAGAAUAAGCACCGGCUAACUUCGUG
This 492-nucleotide ribosomal RNA is filed under the name uncultured bacterium. RNAcentral's name for it is "partial 16S ribosomal RNA". It matches the Rfam family "Bacterial small subunit ribosomal RNA", at positions 29 to 507 of the family's 1533-position model. The record is from RNAcentral.